GAGGGGGGGUGAAUAGGCUCGAUCUUUAAAACCUGAAAAUUCUUCGCAACUGAGUUAAAUGGGUUGGAACUUCCGGCGCUGUGCCGGAACUUCCGAUGGGGUCGGAACUUCAAGUACAGGGGUGGAAUUUCUGACAGAGAUAAAAGUACUCUACAAAAUUCAAAAAUAAACUAGUUUCAGUAGAAUCAAUUUGAAUCAAAAGUUCAGCAAAGAUGUACAGAGACUAUUGCAGGUGAUCUUUAUAAGAAAAACUUCACAAGAAUGUAGAUCGGCACAAAUCAAGCUCUAGAACUUGAAGAACAACACAAGCACAUGAGACAAAGGAUUGGUUUACUGAAGUUCACUCCCACAAAGAAAGCUAUGUCUUCGUUGACGAGUUCACAGAGAGCUGGUUCCACACUAACCCUUUACCUCUCUCAAUCAACCAUAAAAUAGGCUUGAGUCACUUACUAUGAAUCCUCCAAGAGGAUGGGCAAUACAAACUUCC
RNAcentral lists this long non-coding RNA (487 nucleotides) under Setaria viridis. RNAcentral's name for it is "long non-coding RNA (SVIR_LNC003486)". The record is from RNAcentral. Lineage: Eukaryota; Viridiplantae; Streptophyta; Magnoliopsida; Poales; Poaceae.